AUACCAGAGAAGAAGAUGACGCUGCUGCGCUAUAGUAGUGGGGAACAGGAAGUUCCGGGUCGAAACGACAGAACUGUGCUGUUGUGUCGAUAGUGGUUGUGUCUGCUUCAAAUGUAUCAUUGUAGACCGACUCAUAUUAAGUCUGAGGCCAGUAACAUCAACAGUGAGGACAAACUCAGCCUGCCACUCUCCUUCCACACUGAGUUGAAACCUACAGUCACUGGGUCCUGAUUGUGACAGUGGAGCCCAGUUUGCACCGUAGGAUCCAGAGAUGGCAUCAGUGAAGCUGGAAGACUGCAGUCAAACACUGGAGCUGAAUGUCAACAUUAAAGAUGAAGAAGAGGAGGAGAAGAUUAGGACAACUGUUAGUCAUGGAUACCAUGUUGAGACAUUCUCCACAUCCAGUGAGCAACAG
Molecule: long non-coding RNA, 415 nt
Organism: Oncorhynchus nerka (sockeye salmon)
Lineage: Eukaryota; Metazoa; Chordata; Actinopteri; Salmoniformes; Salmonidae
Exons: 3
Source: RefSeq, a predicted model, not a curated record